Molecule: ribosomal RNA, 595 nt
Filed under: uncultured bacterium
Lineage: Bacteria
Description: partial 16S ribosomal RNA
Rfam family: Bacterial small subunit ribosomal RNA
Source: RNAcentral
UGGGGAAUUUUGGACAAUGGGCGAAAGCCUGAUCCAGCAAUGCCGCGUGUGUGAAGAAGGCCUUCGGGUUGCAAAAGCACUUUUUGUCCGGAAAAGAAAUCCUUGGCUCUAAUACAGUCGGGGGAUGACGAUACCGGAAGAAUAAGCACCGGCUAACUACGUGCCAGCAGCCGCGGUAAUACGUAGGGUGCAAAGCGUUAAUCGGAAUUACUGGGCGUAAAGCGUGCGCAGGCGGUUUGCUAAGACCGAUGUGAAAUCCCCGGGCUCAACCUGGGAACUGCAUUGGUGACUGGCAGGCUAGAGUAUGGCAGAGGGGGGUAGAAUUCCACGUGUAGCAGUGAAAUGCGUAGAGAUGUGGAGGAAUACCGAUGGCGAAGGCAGCCCCCUGGGCCAAUACUGACGCUCAUGCACGAAAAGCGUGGGGAGCAAAACAGGAUUAGAUACCCUGGUAGUCCACGCCCUAAAACGAUGUCAACUAGUUGUUGGGGAUUCAUUUUCCUUAGUAACGUAGCUAAACGCGUGAAGUUGACCGCCUGGGGGAGUACGGUCGCAAGAUUAAAACUCAAAUGAAUUGACGGGGUCAUAGCUGUUUCCU